GAUUAAUUAAAAUGAAGUGUGAGAACAGGUACAGUACAGUAUAGUUUUCAAAAUAUACAAAAAUAGUGUAUGGCUCAUAUCAAGAUUAUGUAUAAGGUAAAUACUGUAUUGCUGCUAUUAUUUAUUUGUAAGUUGUUUCCCUUAUUGGACGGAGUCAUUCUUGAGGUUAAUGGUGGUUAGAUAAAUGUUGUGCUGUAGAUGUAAUAUGUGAUUACUGUCAAGGAUAAAUGAUUGUUGAGUUUUAUUGUAAAUUGAAUGAGUUAAUAUGUAACAUGUGGGAGCUGGAAAAGUGAAGAAUGUACAGUGCAGUCUGACUUGAUAGUGGUACAGUACAGUACAGUACAAUACUGUACUGUAGUCAGAGAAAUUUUAAGUAAUUUUGCUCAGGAAAGAACUUUCCAUGUUUCCACAGAGCGCUUGCUGUUUUCUCUCGCUUAGUGUAUCAUGUAUCAAUACAGUACAGUACAGUACACUACAGUACAGUACAGUACAGUACAGUACAGUACAGUACCUUAGGUUAUGAACAUUAGUUAUCACAAACUUCUUAUGACUCGAGUUAUAUGAUAUUGUAUGAUAAAAACAAUCAGCAAUAAAAGCAAUUGUUGAGCUAUAAUAAACAAGUCAGCAGCACCUGUUAAUGAUACAGGACUAUACAGUACAAUAUUUAAAUUCCAAGGAGAAAUAUACAGUACCAGUGCAUUGUAUAGGUUCCCAUGUCUAAUUGGUGUAAUUUUUAUAUUCAAUGUGCUGUACUAAUUAAACAAAAUCUCAGGUUGAAAAAACUGUUAAAGAACAAAAGUAUUUUACCAGACCAGUCUAUUAUUUUGUUCAUGUAAACUGCUUUUGGUUGAUAUUAUACAUCUACUGUACAGCAUUAGGUGUGACUUGUGUACACUGGCACAUCUAGCUGGUCAUAUGAAUACUGUACUGGUAUAUAGUACAGUAAUGGACUGUAUGUUGCAGAAAUACUGUACAAGCAGUCCCUGAGUUACGACCAUCAGACUUACGAUCAUCUGCACUUAUGAACGGGAUCCCAUUAUAUCCAUGGCAAAAAUAUGCAAUUAAAAUCCCAUUUUAUACAUUAUUUUCAUUCUUUAUUGUUUAACAUCACUUUAUUUACAGUAUUUACGUUAUUUGUUAUGUUUAGGAUAUUAUUGUUGUUUUGUAUGGGCAGGGUUGUGCUUUAACUUAACCUAAACUAUGGAAUUAACACUGUUCUGACUUACAAACAAAUCGACUUACGAUCAGGGUCCAGGAACAUAUCCCUGUCCUAAGUCAGGGACUGCCUGUAUAGUAUAGUACAGUAUAUACUUUCCAGGGCUCACUCCAUCCUCUCACCACGUUACCAGUACAGUAGUAAUCAAAUGCCCUCUUACAGGAUUAAAAUUGAGAAAAAGCAAAUAAAGUGAUGAAGUAACACUACAAAUGUGAAGUGACAUAAUCAUACAAAGUUCAGUUUUGGGAUACAAUUCUUGUCAGAUUCAAAACAUUUCAAGUGUUGUCUUUGGCUGAUAAAAGUUGUCAUCAACUGUGGCUACACAAUGUAGAAUUUUUAACUCCAGUAACUACAGAAAUAUAUCACUUAAGAAAAAACUUGUUUGUUUAAUUUGGUAAAUACAAAUAAACAUGAUUACAGUACAGUACUAACCAAAUGAUUUCAAUUCAACUCUCUGAGAUUUUCUUUUAAGUUUUACCCACUUCUUUGUUGACAGCUUUAAGUCGCACCCAUUUCUCUAACAACAAAAAUAAAAUAUCAAGGUUUUUUAUUUUGUCUAUCAUGAUUUUAAAUAAAUAAAAAAAGUUUACUUACUGAGGAAUGAUUUUUGCCGAGUAAGGAGGAUCACGGUAGCUAUUAAUCCUUAUACAAUUAUACAGAUAAAAGCUCUUCUUUACCGUACAGUAUACUGUAGUAACUCUAAAGAAGGCAAACAUUGCUGUACAUGUUUAAAGGAAUUUGGCAGCCUGGAAAAUACAGUUAAACAGAAUUUCUUUAAAUAUUAAGAGUUAAUAUUGUUCAUUUUGAAACUGAGUAUUUAAGAAAAUUUAAAUUUUUUAAACUUUAUAAUUUCAU
This 2071-nucleotide long non-coding RNA is filed under the name Homarus americanus (American lobster). RNAcentral's name for it is "uncharacterized LOC121869988". Lineage: Eukaryota; Metazoa; Arthropoda; Malacostraca; Decapoda; Nephropidae. The record is from RNAcentral.